This 429-nucleotide ribosomal RNA is filed under the name Actinomycetes bacterium. RNAcentral describes it as "Actinobacteria bacterium partial 16S ribosomal RNA". It matches the Rfam family "Bacterial small subunit ribosomal RNA", at positions 355 to 776 of the family's 1533-position model. Lineage: Bacteria; Bacillati; Actinomycetota; Actinomycetes. The record is from RNAcentral.
UAGGGAAUCUUCCGCAAUGGGCGAAAGCCUUACGGAGCAACGCCGCGUGAGUGAUGAAGGUCUUCGGAUCGUAAAACUCUGUUAUUAGGGAAGAACAAAUGUGUAAGUAACUAUGCACGUCUUGACGGUACCUAAUCAGAAAGCCACGGCUAACUACGUUCCAGCAGCCGCGGUAAUACGUAGGUGGCAAGCGUUAUCCGGAAUUAUUGGGCGUAAAGCGCGCGUAGGCGGUUUUUUAAGUCUGAUGUGAAAGCCCACGGCUCAACCGUGGAGGGUCAUUGGAAACUGGAAAACUUGAGUGCAGAAGAGGAAAGUGGAAUUCCAUGUGUAGCGGUGAAAUGCGCAGAGAUAUGGAGGAACACCAGUGGCGAAGGCGACUUUCUGGUCUGUAACUGACGCUGAUGUGCGAAAGCAUGGGGAUCAAACAGG